GAUGAACGCUGGCGGCGUGCCUAAUACAUGCAAGUCGAGCGAACAGACGAGGAGCUUGCUCCUCUGACGUUAGCGGCGGACGGGUGAGUAACACGUGGAUAACCUACCUAUAAGACUGGGAUAACUUCGGGAAACCGGAGCUAAUACCGGAUAAUAUAUUGAACCGCAUGGUUCAAUAGUGAAAGACGGUUUUGCUGUCACUUAUAGAUGGAUCCGCGCCGCAUUAGCUAGUUGGUAAGGUAACGGCUUACCAAGGCAUCGAUGCGUAGCCGACCUGAGAGGGUGAUCGGCCACACUGGAACUGAGCCACGGUCCAGACUCCUACGGGAGGCAGCAGUAGGGAAUCUUCCGCAAUGGGCGAAAGCCUGACGGAGCAACGCCGCGUGAGUGAUGAAGGUCUUCGGAUCGUAAAACUCUGUUAUUAGGGAAGAACAAAUGUGUAAGUAACUAUGCACGUCUUGACGGUACCUAAUCAGAAAGCCACGGCUAACUACGUG
Molecule: ribosomal RNA, 497 nt
Filed under: uncultured bacterium
Lineage: Bacteria
Description: partial 16S ribosomal RNA
Rfam family: Bacterial small subunit ribosomal RNA
Source: RNAcentral